AUAGCUCAGUUGGUAAAGAGAACCUGCCUGAAAUGCAGGGGACCCCAGUUCAAUUCCUGGGU
This 62-nucleotide transfer RNA is filed under the name Ovis aries (sheep). It matches the Rfam family "tRNA", at positions 7 to 64 of the family's 71-position model. From Rfam's summary of the family: Transfer RNA (tRNA) molecules are approximately 80 nucleotides in length. Their secondary structure includes four short double-helical elements and three loops (D, anti-codon, and T loops). Lineage: Eukaryota; Metazoa; Chordata; Mammalia; Artiodactyla; Bovidae. The record is from Rfam by way of RNAcentral.